AUUGAACGCUGGCGGCAUGCUUUACACAUGCAAGUCGAACGGCAGCGCGGGCGUCUGCCUGGCGGCGAUUGUCGAACGGGUGAGUAAUACAUCGGAACGUGCCCAGUAUUGGGGGAUAGCUCGGCGAAAGCCUGAUUGAUACCACAUACGACCUGAGGGUGAAAGCGGGGGGUCUUCGGACCUCUCGCUAUUGGAGCGGCCGAUGGCAGAUUAGCUAGUUGGUGGGGUAAAGGCCUACCAAGGCGACGAUCUGUAGCUGGUGUGAGAGGACGACAAGCCACACUGGGAGUGAAACACGGACCCGGCUCCUACGGGAGGGAGCAGUGGGGAAUUUUGGACAAUGGGCGAAAGUCUGAUACAGCAAUGCCGAGUGUGUGAUGAAGGCCCUCGGGUUGUAAAGCCGUUUUGGCGGGAACGAAAAGGACUGUGCCAAUAACACGGUUAGAUGACGGUACCCGCAGAAUAAGCACCGGCUAACUACGUG
Molecule: ribosomal RNA, 484 nt
Filed under: uncultured bacterium
Lineage: Bacteria
Description: partial 16S ribosomal RNA
Rfam family: Bacterial small subunit ribosomal RNA
Source: RNAcentral